RNAcentral lists this ribosomal RNA (478 nucleotides) under uncultured bacterium. Its description in RNAcentral is "partial 16S ribosomal RNA". It matches the Rfam family "Bacterial small subunit ribosomal RNA", at positions 28 to 523 of the family's 1533-position model. The record is from RNAcentral.
GACGAACGCUGGCGGCGUGCUUAACACAUGCAAGUCGAACGGUAAGGCCCUUCGGGGUACACGAGUGGCGAACGGGUGAGUAACACGUGGGUGAUCUGCCCUGCACUUCGGGAUAAGCCUGGGAAACUGGGUCUAAUACCGGAUAGGACCACUGCCUGCAUGGGUGGUGGUGGAAAGCCUUUGCGGUGUGUGAUGGGCCCGCGGCCUAUCAGCUUGUUGGUGGGGUGAUGGCCUACCAAGGCGACGACGGGUGGCCGGCCUGAGAGGGUGACCGGCCAGACUGGGACUGAGAUACGGCGCAGACGCGUACGGGAGGCAGCAGUGGGGAAUAUUGCACAAUGGGCGCAAGCCUGAUGCAGCGACGCCGCGUGAGGGAUGACGGCCUUCGGGUUGUAAACCUCUUUCAGCACCGACGAAGCGCAAGUGACGGUAGGUGCAGAAGAAGGACCGGCCAACUACGUGCCAGCCGCCGCAGUAA